UUUCCCGGGGAGCUUGCUCCACCGGAAAAACAGGAGUGGCGAACGGGUGAGUAACACGUGGGUAACCUGCCCAUCAGAAGGGGAUAACACUUGGAAACAGGUGCUAAUACCGUAUAACAAUCGAAACCGCAUGGUUUUGAUUUGAAAGGCGCUUUCGGGUGUCGCUGAUGGAUGGACCCGCGGUGCAUUAGCUAGUUGGUGAGGUAACGGCUCACCAAGGCCACGAUGCAUAGCCGACCUGAGAGGGUGAUCGGCCACAUUGGGACUGAGACACGGCCCAAACUCCUACGGGAGGCAGCAGUAGGGAAUCUUCGGCAAUGGACGAAAGUCUGACCGAGCAACGCCGCGUGAGUGAAGAAGGUUUUCGGAUCGUAAAACUCUGUUGUUAGAGAAGAAUAAGGAUGAGAGUAACUGUUCAUCCCUUGACGGUAUCUAACCAGAAAGCCACGGCUAACUACGUGCCAGCAGCCGCGGUAAUACGUAGGUGGCAAGCGUUGUCCGGAUUUAUUGGGCGUAAAGCGAGCGCAGGCGGUUUCUUAAGUCUGAUGUGAAAGCCCCCGGCUCAACCGGGGAGGGUCAUUGGAAACUGGGAGACUUGAGUGCAGAAGAGGAGAGUGGAAUUCCAUGUGUAGCGGUGAAAUGCGUAGAUAUAUGGAGGAACACCAGUGGCGAAGGCGGCUCUCUGGUCUGUAACUGACGCUGAGGCUCGAAAGCGUGGGGAGCAAACAGGAUUAGAUACCCUGGUAGUCCACGCCGUAAACGAUGAGUGCUAAGUGUUGGAGGGUUUCCGCCCUUCAGUGCUGCAGCUAACGCAUUAAGCACUCCGCCUGGGGAGUACGACCGCAAGGUUGAAACUCAAAGGAAUUGACGGGGGCCCGCACAAGCGGUGGAGCAUGUGGUUUAAUUCG
Molecule: ribosomal RNA, 908 nt
Filed under: Enterococcus lactis
Lineage: Bacteria; Bacillati; Bacillota; Bacilli; Lactobacillales; Enterococcaceae
Description: bacterial SSU rRNA
Rfam family: Bacterial small subunit ribosomal RNA
Source: RNAcentral